UGGGCGGGCUCUGAGCCAGGCUGUGCGUGCAGAGAUCAGCCAGGAGACCGCGGUGAACCCCGUGGACAUCGUCAGCACCCUGCAGGCCCUGCAGAUGCUCAAGUACUGGAAGGGCAAACACCUGGUCCUCAAGAGGCAGGACCUGAUCGACGAGUGGAUCGCCAAGGAGGCCAAGAGAUCCAACAGCAACAAGACCAUGGAUCCCAGCUGCCUCAAGUGGACCCCUCCCAAGGGCACCUAAGCGUCCCCAGGGCCGGGCCCGGUGCCGCCCUGCCCGGCGUCCCCACAGUUCUGAGGAACUCGGAUGUUUCGGCCUCAGUGAGGCCGUGUGAGGACUGGAAGUGUCUGGGAGCCCCAGGGAGCCGAGGAGCUCCGAUUGCUGGGCCUGUCCCUGCUGUCCCUGCUGUCCUGCUCCAUCCUCCCGUCCCUCCUGCAGCUCAGCCGGCUGCCAGCGCUUCCCUGGAGCUGCUCCCGUCCCGUUCCACAUCCCAGAUAGCUUUAGUGGGAUCGUCUCCCCCCUCCUGCAGCAGUUUGCCCUGGGAUCCAGCAGAUCUUCGCUUAGUUCCUGUUGUACAGCCAGAAUUGCAGCCGAGGCAGGGGCGGGGUGUUCCCGUCACCCCCUCCCGGAGCCACCACAGCCCUGCUGGAAGCACCUCUGGAUCAGAAUUGCUGUUUUUUCCUGGUGUGUAUCCCCUGGAAUUGCUGAGUUCCUGUACAUAAACAGCCUGCUGAGUGUGUUUCCCUGCAGAUGUUUUUCCCAGAGCAGCCUUCCUGCAAUUGCAGGUCCCUUUUUCCUCCCCUCCAGGCUGAAGGAAUCCAAACUUUGUCCUUCUCCAAAGAGCCACAGGAACUCCCCAGCACCGGUUCCAGGGAGGGAUGGAUUCCCUGGAAAAGCCAAAAAAAAAAAAACAAAAAAAAAGCUUUGAUUCCUCCCCUGCCAUCAGCAGAAAUACCCUGGAAUCCUCCCAGUGCCACCAGGGUCCCCCAGCCACCCGUCCCCGCGAGGCUGCGGGGUCACCGACACAGGGGACAGCCCUGGGCCGGGGCUGGAGGCAGCCCAGGCUGGAUUCCCUGAUCCCAGACUGGAUUCCCUGAUCCCAGGCUGGAUUCCCUGAUCCCAGGCUGGAUUCCCUGAUCCCAGGCUGGAUUCCCUGAUCCCAGUGCUGAUUUCAGUGAUCCCAGGCUGGGUCCCUGAUCCCAGGCUGGAUUCCCCGAUCCCAGGCUGGAUUCCCUGAUCCCAGGCUGGAUUCCCUGAUCCCAGGCUGGGUCCCUGAUCCCAGGCUGGAUUCCCUGAUCCCAGGCUGGAUUCCCUGAUCCCAGUGCUGAUUUCAGUGAUCCCAGACUGGAUUCCCCGAUCCCAGGCUGGAUUCCCCGAUCCCAGUGCUGGAUUCCCCGAUCCCAGUGCUGGAUUCCCCGAUCCCAGUGAUUCUCCCAGGACAGGCUGUGGGAUGAGGCGCUCCCGGGAAGGUGGGAGCCGUUCCCGUUACCCACUGCCCCAUCCCGACUGCAGAAACUCCCUGCUGCUCCUCCG
This 1531-nucleotide long non-coding RNA is filed under the name Cyanistes caeruleus (blue tit). RNAcentral describes it as "lncRNA (ENSCCEG00000021891.1)". The record is from RNAcentral. Lineage: Eukaryota; Metazoa; Chordata; Aves; Passeriformes; Paridae.